RNAcentral lists this ribosomal RNA (460 nucleotides) under uncultured bacterium. Its description in RNAcentral is "partial 16S ribosomal RNA". It matches the Rfam family "Bacterial small subunit ribosomal RNA", at positions 338 to 795 of the family's 1533-position model. The record is from RNAcentral.
CCUACGGGAGACAGCAGUGAGGAAUAUUGGUCAAUGGACGAGAGUCUGAACCAGCCAAGUAGCGUGAAGGAUGACUGCCCUAUGGGUUGUAAACUUCUUUUAUAUGGGAAUAAAACGUUCCACGUGUGGGAUUUUGUAUGUACCAUAUGAAUAAGGAUCGGCUAACUCCGUGCCAGCAGCCGCGGUAAUACGGAGGAUCCGAGCGUUAUCCGGAUUUAUUGGGGUUAAAGGGAGCGUAGGUGGAUUGUUAAGUCAGUUGUGAAAGUUUGCGGCUCAACCGUAAAAUUGCAGUUGAAACUGGCAGUCUUGAGUACAGGAGAGGUGGGCGGAAUUCGUGGUGUAGCGGUGAAAUGCUUAGAUAUCACGAAGAACUCCGAUUGCGAAGGCAGUUCACUGGACUGCAACUGACACUGAGGCUCGAAAGUGUGGGUAUCAAACAGGAUUAGAUACCCCAGUAGUC